GACGAACGCUGGCGGCGUGCCUAAUACAUGCAAGUGGGACGCAAGGGAACACACUGUGCUUGCACACCGUGUUUUCUUGAGUCGCGAACGGGUGAGUAACGCGUAGGUAACCUGCCUAUUAGCGGGGGAUAACUAUUGGAAACGAUAGCUAAUACCGCAUAAUAUUAAUUAUUGCAUGAUAAUUGAUUGAAAGAUGCAAGCGCAUCACUAGUAGAUGGACCUGCGUUGUAUUAGCUAGUUGGUAAGGUAAGAGCUUACCAAGGCGACGAUACAUAGCCGACCUGAGAGGGUGAUCGGCCACACUGGGACUGAGACACGGCCCAGACUCCUACGGGAGGCAGCAGUAGGGAAUCUUCGGCAAUGGACGAAAGUCUGACCGAGCAACGCCGCGUGAGUGAAGAAGGUUUUCAGAUCGUAAAGCUCUGUUGUAAGUCAAGAACGUGUGUGAGAGUGGAAAGUUCACACAGUGACGGAGCUACCAGAAA
RNAcentral lists this ribosomal RNA (485 nucleotides) under Streptococcus mutans. RNAcentral's name for it is "bacterial SSU rRNA". It matches the Rfam family "Bacterial small subunit ribosomal RNA", at positions 28 to 489 of the family's 1533-position model. Lineage: Bacteria; Bacillati; Bacillota; Bacilli; Lactobacillales; Streptococcaceae. The record is from RNAcentral.